GUGCCAGCAGCCGCGGUAAUACAGAGGGUGCAAGCGUUAAUCGGAAUUACUGGGCGUAAAGCGCGCGUAGGCGGUUAUUUAAGUCGGGUGUGAAAGCCCCGGGCUCAACCUGGGAAUUGCAUCCGAUACUGAGUAACUAGAGUAUGAGAGAGGGAGGUAGAAUUCCACGUGUAGCGGUGAAAUGCGUAGAUAUGUGGAGGAAUACCGGUGGCGAAGGCGGCCUCCUGGCUUAAUACUGACGCUGAGGUGCGAAAGCGUGGGGAUCAAACAGGAUUAGAUACCCUCGUAGUCC
Molecule: ribosomal RNA, 292 nt
Filed under: uncultured bacterium
Lineage: Bacteria
Description: partial 16S ribosomal RNA
Rfam family: Bacterial small subunit ribosomal RNA
Source: RNAcentral